GUCAUAGCUCAGUGGUAGUGCACUUGUUUUGUACUCAUAAAGUUCCAGGUUGAAUCCCUGGUAUUUCCA
Non-coding RNA from Podarcis lilfordi (Lilford's wall lizard), 69 nucleotides. NCBI's taxonomy places the organism in Eukaryota, Metazoa, Chordata, Lepidosauria, Squamata, Lacertidae. The record is from the annotation of a GenBank genome assembly.